UACGUAGGCAGCGAGCGUUGUUCGGAAUUACUGGGCGUAAAGAGUGUGUAGGCGGUGCUCUAAGUUCGGUGUGAAAUCUCCCGGCUUAACUGGGAGGGUGCGCCGGAAACUGGAGUGCUCGAGCGUGGGAGAGGAAAGCGGAAUUCCUGGUGUAGCGGUGAAAUGCGUAGAUAUCAGGAGGAACACCUGCGGUGUAGACGGCUUUCUGGACCAUUGCUGACGCUGAGACACGAAAGCGUGGAUAGCAAACAGG
This 253-nucleotide ribosomal RNA is filed under the name uncultured bacterium. Its description in RNAcentral is "partial 16S ribosomal RNA". It matches the Rfam family "Bacterial small subunit ribosomal RNA", at positions 524 to 776 of the family's 1533-position model. The record is from RNAcentral.